Long non-coding RNA from Physeter macrocephalus (sperm whale), 1964 nucleotides. RefSeq lists it as uncharacterized. The record is from RefSeq and is a predicted model, not a curated record. NCBI's taxonomy places the organism in Eukaryota, Metazoa, Chordata, Mammalia, Artiodactyla, Physeteridae. The transcript has 5 exons.
CACCCCUCGGGGCUUUGGGGAGCGUCCGGGGCUCGGCCGCUGGAGGGACGCGGGUAGCCGGACCUUGCGGGGAUGCCGGGUGCUACCUACGCGGGGUCGGAAAGAAAGGGUCCGGAAGAGUCCCCAAGAACCUAGGGUGAAGGCGACCUUUUCUAUUCUAUGGAGAAACUGAUGCUCAGAGAAGAAACUGAUCUGCCCAAGGUCACCACCCUGAGCUAGAGGCAGACUUGGAACCUGGAUGUGCGGGCUCCCACUGGCGUCACUCCCCACUGCCCACAUUUGGGUUGUUUUAGGUCUUUGUUGCUGCGCGCGGGCUUUCUCUAGUUGUGGCCAGUGGGGGCUACUCUUCGUUGUGGCGGAUUCUUAACCACUGCGCCACCAGGGAAGCCCGAAAAUAGCUUUUAACCAGAGGAAAGGGAGCCUGGCCCUCUUGGAGGAAUGGAAGGAGAAGCAGAUGGCUGGAACAGAGGUUCAAGGGAGAAGAUACUAUGCACCUAAUAAGUACUCAACAUUUGAAUCAAUGGAGGAGCAAGUAAACGGCGGAGAGGCUGAAUGAGGCCAGUUUGCAGCCUCAGGGCCUCCUCCCCGGCCUUUCCCUGCCCCAGGAGUAACCCCAGGACGUCCAGUGCCUCAGAAAUCACAGCUGCCCCUACUCUGCCUGUACCUCUCCUCAGCCAUCUGCAUGACCCAGUGGAUAAAAAAGUACAAAGCAAGGGAAUACGGUAGUCACGCUCUCCUUUGUUCAAGCCCUUGGCUUCCUCUUCCCUGGUUGUGAAGCUCAGGAGGCCCGAAUCGGCCCCAUCUUUCCGAGGUAGAAGUGCUGGCCUGGAGCUCAGAGUUAUGGGAGCAAGAUGCAAGGGUGGCAGGGCCCUGUGCCAGGCAGAAUGGAAAGGUGUGGAGGUUCAAGCCGCCAGCUGCCCUGGCUGCCGCGCUGCUUCUUCCAAACCCUUUGAGCAGACCCCCUUCCUUGGGGCUCAGAGCUCGCAGAUCUGUGAACCAUCCCUGCGCCCUCACAGCCUGGUCCUGGCUGGCCUUCCUGAGGCCUUUGGCCCCUGGUUGUCGUUUUCCUCCCUCCCCAGGCCCUGCCUCAUCCUGGGGACUUCCAGCAUCCACAGGACACAGUGUCUGCCACCAGAGCCUCUCAAGGGAACCAACUCAAACCUGAGCCUCAGCCCUAGCCCCUGUCCACUCCCCAGAAUUUUCUGCUGCUCUUGGGCUUCCCACUCUCCUGAUGCUCUGGCACCCCACUUCACCACUCCCCUCUACUUGUUCUUCCAUGUCUCUGAGCCCUCCGGCCUCUGACCCCCUCGCGCCUUUAUUUUCCCCACCUUGCCCGGCCCUCGGCCAGUCCUGGCAUUCACUCCUUUGAUAUAUUGAGCCCCCUGGCCCCCAGGCCCUUGGCCACAGCUGACCACUGCCUGCCCUGGGUGGUCUGACCUCGACCUUCUAAGCUUCUGGCCCACACUGCUGAGAGCUGCUGGAGAAAACCACAGGGCCGGGCAGAUGGGGCCCCUGUGCACGAGGCCUCCAGGCCCAGCUGAUCCUUUUCCCAGCUCACUCCUCCACCCUCUCCAGACGCUCCCUCAAACCUUCAGCCUGUUCACCAGCCUCCUCCCCUCCUCCUCCCAUGACUCAGCAGAUGACUUCAGCUUCUCCUUCUCGGAGAAGAAGGUUCCUGGGAAUCUCCCUGCCCUCCGCUCAGAAGUGCACCCCGCCUGCCUUCCAUCCCGGCUGACCCCUCUUCCAGGGCUCCUGACCUCCCCCACGUCAACAUAUCCACCUGUUCCUUCCACACCACCCCCAUCCUUCCAGCCUCUCUCUCUCUCCCCGGACUCUCCCCUGAGCAUUUAAACAAUCCCAGCCUCUUGCAGACAAAGGAAACCCUCCCUCUGCCAUGAGCCACCAGCAAUAUCAGAGUCUCUCUCCUUCAUCUGACCAUUAAAUUACUGAUGAAAAUAGUCAUU